UGGGGAAUAUUGGACAAUGGGCGCAAGCCUGAUCCAGCCAUGCCGCGUGAGUGAAGAAGGCCCUAGGGUUGUAAAGCUCUUUCAGUGGGGAAGAUAAUGACGGUACCCACAGAAGAAGCUCCGGCUAACUUCGUGCCAGCAGCCGCGGUAAUACGAAGGGAGCUAGCGUUGUUCGGAAUUACUGGGCGUAAAGCGCACGUAGGCGGAUUGUUAAGUUAGGGGUGAAAUCCCGAGGCUCAACCUCGGAACUGCCUUUGAUACUGGCAAUCUGGAGUCCGAAAGAGGUGAGUGGAAUUCCGAGUGUAGAGGUGAAAUUCGUAGAUAUUCGGAGGAACACCAGAGGCGAAGGCGGCUCACUGGUUCGGUACUGACGCUGAGGUGCGAAAGCGUGGGGAGCAAACAGGAUUAGAUACCCCCGUAGUCC
RNAcentral lists this ribosomal RNA (424 nucleotides) under uncultured prokaryote. RNAcentral describes it as "bacterial SSU rRNA". It matches the Rfam family "Bacterial small subunit ribosomal RNA", at positions 355 to 796 of the family's 1533-position model. The record is from RNAcentral.